Long non-coding RNA from Numida meleagris (helmeted guineafowl), 919 nucleotides. RefSeq lists it as uncharacterized. The record is from RefSeq and is a predicted model, not a curated record. Lineage: Eukaryota; Metazoa; Chordata; Aves; Galliformes; Numididae. The transcript is spliced from 3 exons.
GCUACACAGAAGAGACUAUCAGGAGAAGGAUGCAGCUUUAAAGAGUUAAUUGAUAAGCGCAACAAAACAAAAGAUUUUUCUUACAUCAGGAAAACUUGAGAAGUCAUCCAAUUUUACUGAAGCAUGCUACUAUGGAAAAGAAGCAAUUCUUCUGCUGAGAGAAGCUAGAUUACUUUAAAGUCUACAAAGGACUGAUCUACAAAGGGGGAAAAGCAAAGGAUAUGCACCAUGUCAUCCUAGGCAAGAUAGUUCUGAGCUGGGUGAAACUGACUGCAAAGAAUUCACGUCACUAGUUGGUGUGAAGGUAAUGGUUUUGAGAGAUCAUGUAGCAUUUUGUUGUCCACAAUGAGACAAUCUGUUUCAAAAUUCCUUAGAAAAGAACCCUGCAACAGAGUAAGCAUUUUAUCAACACAACAACAGAUACUUUGCAACUUGACUUUAAGUGUUCUACUUCAGAUACCACAGAGAGCACAACACAUCAUUUUCCCAAGGUCUCAGAAAAGAUAAAAGAUAUUCACUGAAAACCUUUGUAUCGGAAGGUUUGAUUAUCUGCUUCUUGCUUAGAAAUAAUAAGCAGCAAUACACAGAAGUCUGCAGUUCACAGUAUUGCAAAAGGCUUGCUUCCCUUUAGGGCCAACUAGCAGAAGCAACAUUUAAGUGCAAACAAAAUGGACAGAUACAUACAUACAUACACAGACACUACACACAUAUAUACACACUUCAGAUCAUUUAGGGAAACAAGGUUAAGCAGCAGAUUUCAGUAAGGCUGUGACAAAUGGCAACGAAUAAACUUUCAUUCCAGUAAGGGCACUAAUUCCUGCUGGUGGUACUCCUGCCUAUUUACCUGUUAUAGUUUCUGGAUGUCUCCCAGAACUGAAGUGUGUGGGAGAAAAAUGAACAAACAAAACCACCAAAUCGA